AAAGUCGUAACAAGGUUUCCGUAGGUGAACCUGCGGAAGGAUCAUUACAAAUCCUGACACGUCCUUAUCCUGUUGAACAUGUUCCUCUCUGUGCGUGAUGGUGGAUGUGAUGUGGGAAAGAGUCUCGCGGUAAACCGUGGCUACAGCACCGCACCAUCAACAACAUCAUCAUGACACGAGAACACCUUUACAAACUACGUGUGACCCUUUUCAUGAUACAAGAGCGAGCGGUGACCUCUCUCUUCUUGCCAAAAACGAAAACCACCACCUGAACGAACAACCUAGAAACAACUUAUAACAAUGGAUCUCUAGGCUCUU
This 318-nucleotide unclassified non-coding RNA is filed under the name Basidiomycota sp. RNAcentral describes it as "partial contains small subunit ribosomal RNA, internal transcribed spacer 1, and 5.8S ribosomal RNA". The stretch from base 1 to 47 matches the Rfam family "Eukaryotic small subunit ribosomal RNA", at positions 1785 to 1831 of the family's 1831-position model. The record is from RNAcentral. Lineage: Eukaryota; Fungi; Basidiomycota.